AUGGAAAAGGAUAGUAGCAUUGCCCCUUUUUAUUUUCUCUUCUUUUUUUUGGGCCUUUCUUUUUUCUUUUGGCCUUUCUCUCUUUUUUUGGGACAAUGCUCUAUGAAUGAUGAUCAUCACACUUCUAUUUAUUUACAACUCAAUGAUUACAACUCGAUACUAGAACAAAAUAUGACUCUACAUGAAUGCCUCCGGCGGUGUACCGGUAUGGGCAAUGAAUCAAGAGUGACAUGUAUGAUAAUAUGCAUGGUGGCUUUGCCACAAAUACGAUGUCAACUACAUGAUCAUGCAAGGCAAUAUGACAAUGAUGAACGUGUCAUGAUAAACGGAACGGUGGAAAGUUGCAUGGCAAUAUAUCUCGGAAUGGCUAUGGAAAUGCCAUAA
RNAcentral lists this ribosomal RNA (384 nucleotides) under Triticum aestivum (bread wheat). Its description in RNAcentral is "partial small subunit ribosomal RNA". The record is from RNAcentral. Lineage: Eukaryota; Viridiplantae; Streptophyta; Magnoliopsida; Poales; Poaceae.